Molecule: non-coding RNA, 46 nt
Organism: Cyphomyrmex costatus
Lineage: Eukaryota; Metazoa; Arthropoda; Insecta; Hymenoptera; Formicidae
Source: Rfam
CGAUCGGCCCUUUUCAGGGCCAAUAAAACGACGAGUAGAAACGUUU